This 107-nucleotide transfer RNA is filed under the name Thermoproteota archaeon. RNAcentral describes it as "tRNA-Met". It matches the Rfam family "tRNA". Rfam says of the family: Transfer RNA (tRNA) molecules are approximately 80 nucleotides in length. Their secondary structure includes four short double-helical elements and three loops (D, anti-codon, and T loops). Further hydrogen bonds mediate the characteristic L-shaped molecular structure. tRNAs have two regions of fundamental functional importance: the anti-codon, which is responsible for specific mRNA codon recognition, and the 3' end, to which the tRNAs corresponding amino acid is attached (by aminoacyl-tRNA synthetases). tRNAs cope with the degeneracy of the genetic code in two manners: having more than one tRNA (with a specific anti-codon) for a particular amino acid; and 'wobble' base-pairing, i.e. permitting non-standard base-pairing at the 3rd anti-codon position. Lineage: Archaea; Thermoproteati; Thermoproteota. The record is from RNAcentral.
AGCGGGGUGGGGAAGCCAGGUAAUCCCGGUGGGCUCAUAACCCGCAGAGCGGUUUUCAUCAUUGCUCUCAGUAGUGAUGAACGCAGGUUCAAAUCAACCCCCCGCUA